This is an RNA transcript of Strigops habroptila (Kakapo), 2235 nucleotides long. It is a transcript of the gene named PHD finger protein 10, with no coding region annotated. Lineage: Eukaryota; Metazoa; Chordata; Aves; Psittaciformes; Psittacidae. The transcript is spliced from 12 exons. The record is from RefSeq and is a predicted model, not a curated record.
CCGUGCCCCCCUCCUGCGGGGGCUGAUGGUUCACAAACGUAGCUCGUCCCCGCCUGACGUUCCCGGAGACGGGAGCCUGGCGGCGGAGCAGCCCAGCCCUGCCGCGUGCCAGCUCCCGCGCCGGUCAGCGGCGGCGCCCGGCGCUCACCACCGCGGGGGGAUGCUGCCCCUCCGCCCCGCGCUGCUGCCCAAGCGAUACCGGGGCGGCUCGGCUCCGCGCUCGCGGCCGGGCCGCGCGGCCGCCCGAGCGGCGGCAGGAGGAGGAGGAGGGCGCGGCAGCGGCGGCGGCGGCAGCACCACCACCACGGGCGGCGGCGCCCCGGCGCUGGGCCCGCGCGGCGGCGUCGGGUCGGGCCGGGUGCCGGUCCGGCGGCGCGGGCCGGGGUCGCCGCGGGCUGCCCGGAGGGGGGCGGAGCAGGAGCUGCGCGAGCCGCCGCGCUCGUGCGCGAGCUGGCCGGUAGGGGCCGUUGCCACCCCCCGCAGGGGAAGGGGGGGCGGAGCCGGGCGCGGCGCGAGGCCGGGUCGCGGGGCGGCGGCGCUUCUCCUCGCCCAGCCGGCGGCGGGCCCCGCGGCGGUCAUGGCGGCCGUCCUGUCCCCGCGCCUUUGCGACAGCGACCCGGCCACGCCCGGCGCACAGUCCCUCAAGGAUGACACAGAAGAAAAUUCCAACGAUGGCAGCCAGCCAUCUAAAAGACGACGCAUGGGCUCAGGGGACAGUUCUCGGAGCUGUGAAACUUCUAGUCAAGACCUUGGAUACAGCUAUUUUCCUGCUGAAAACUUGAUAGAAUACAAGUGGCCACCGGAUGAAACAGGAGAAUACUAUAUGCUUCAAGAACAAGUCAGUGAAUAUUUGGGUGUGACUUCCUUUAAAAGAAAAUACCCAGAUUUAGAAAGACGAGAUCUAUCUCACAAGGAGAAACUCUACCUCAGAGAACUAAAUGUUAUCACAGAGACCCAGUGCACACUAGGUCUAACAGCUUUGCGUAGUGAUGAAGUAAUUGAUCUUAUGAUUAAAGAAUAUCCUGCCAAACAUGCUGAGUAUUCUGUUAUACUGCAAGAGAAAGAGCGUCAGCGAAUAACAGAUCAUUAUAAAGAGUACUCUCAAAUGCAGCAGCAGAACACACAGAAAGUAGAAGCCAGUAAAGUUCCAGAAUACAUUAAAAAAGCUGCCAAGAAAGCUGCAGAAUUCAACAGCAAUUUAAACCGGGAGCGGAUGGAAGAACGAAGAGCCUAUUUUGAUUUACAGACACAUAUUAUCCAGGUACCUCAAGGAAAAUACAAAAUCUUACCUACAGAGAGAACAAAGGUUAGUCCUUAUCCAGUGGCUCUCAUACCCGGCCAGUUCCAGGAGUACUACAAAAGGUACUCUCCAGAUGAGCUUCGUUACUUGCCAUUAAACACAGCUCUUUACGAACCUCCUUUGGAUCCAGAGCUGCCUGCAUUAGACAGUGAUGGAGACUCAGAUGAUGCAGAAGAAGGACGAGGGGAUGAGAAACGGAAAACCAAAGGCAAUUCGGACAAUUCGUCUGGCAAUGUAUCUGAAGGUGAUUGCGCCACAGAGAACCAGGAGGAUUCUUUUCAGGGAAGACAAAAAACAAGAGACAAAAGUGCUACUCCAAGAAAAGAUGGUUCCAAACGUUCUGUAUUAUCCAAAUCAGUUCCUGGGUACAAGCCAAAGGUCAUUCCAAAUGCUAUAUGUGGAAUUUGUCUGAAGGGUAAGGAGUCCAACAAGAAAGGAAAAGCUGAAGCUCUUAUACAUUGCUCCCAGUGUGACAACAGCGACAUAAAAGUAAUAAUAAUGGUUUUAAUCUAGGCCACCCUUCUUGCCUUGAUAUGACCCCGGAGCUUGUUGCUAUGAUUAAGACUUACCCUUGGCAAUGUAUGGAGUGUAAAACAUGCAUUAUAUGCGGGCAGCCUCACCAUGAAGAAGAAAUGAUGUUCUGUGAUGUAUGUGACCGUGGUUACCACACUUUCUGUGUGGGACUUGAUGCCAUCCCUUCAGGUCGCUGGAUUUGUGAUUGUUGUCAGAAAGACUCUCCUGUACCCAGAAGAGGAGGAAGAAGGGGGAAAAACAGCAAGGAGGGCUAAAACCCCCCCAGAAACUUGCUGUCCAAAACUUAACUGCACAAAUUGAAGUGAUACUUUGGUGCUAUUUAACCAACCACUCUAAGAGGAACAAUACCACUUUAUUUUUUUUUUUUUCCUUUUUACCAAAUAAACUCUCAAUUUUGUCUA